Molecule: transfer RNA, 68 nt
Filed under: Tapinoma melanocephalum
Lineage: Eukaryota; Metazoa; Arthropoda; Insecta; Hymenoptera; Formicidae
Description: tRNA-Asp
Source: RNAcentral
AAAAAAUUAGUUAAAUUAUAACAUUAAAAUGUCAUUUUAAAAUUAUUAUAAAUAAAUAAUAUUUUUUU